AACGAACGCUGGCGGCAUGCCUAACACAUGCAAGUCGAACGAGACCUUCGGGUCUAGUGGCGCACGGGUGCGUAACGCGUGGGAACCUGCCCUUAGGUUCGGAAUAACUCCCCGAAAGGGGUGCUAAUACCGGAUAAUGUCUUCGGACCAAAGAUUUAUCGCCUUUGGAUGGGCCCGCGUUGGAUUAGCUAGUUGGUAGGGUAAAAGCCUACCAAGGCGACGAUCCAUAGCUGGUCUGAGAGGAUGAUCAGCCACACUGGGACUGAGACACGGCCCAGACUCCUACGGGAGGAGGCAGGAGGGAAUAUUGAAGGAUGGGCGAAAGCCUGAUCCAGCAAGGCCGCGUGAGUGAUGAAGGCGUUAGGGUUGUAAAGCUCUUUUACCCGGGAUGAUAAUGACAGUACCGGGAGAAUAAGCUCCGGCUAACUCCGUG
Molecule: ribosomal RNA, 433 nt
Filed under: uncultured bacterium
Lineage: Bacteria
Description: partial 16S ribosomal RNA
Rfam family: Bacterial small subunit ribosomal RNA
Source: RNAcentral